UUUUCAAAUGGGAAUGGAAAGAAGAGAUGGAGAGAGAGAGGAGAGGAGGGGAGGAAGGGAAAAGGGAUUGAAUAAAUGGAAAUAGAGCUUUUUUCAGAUGGGAAGGGGAACAAGAAUAUGUGGGAGUAGGAAAGGAUAGAAGGAGGAGGGAGCAAAAAAGAAUUAAGAUGUGCUAUGUACAUGUACAAACUCCCCAUGGUAAAUGCAAUUGUUAUGUUCUGCAGACAUGUACUAAUAAAAAAAAAAGAAAUAUAAAUCAUGAGCUAGACCACAUGAGACUCAAAUUCUAGUUGGCAGAAUGGUCAAAAGUUAUAACAUAAACAGGUGGUAAAAAUAAUCAAUGGAUAUCAAACAUUUUAGGUAUUUGAGAAGAAAUAUUGUUUUGUGGGAUAAUCAAGAAAACUACAGAAAGGGUGAAAUUGAGCAGAAAUUUAGGGAGGUGACCUCUUAUCCCCCAAUCCUUUAUUCCCGACAGAGGAGCCAUUCUAAGACCCCACCAGUGGAUGUCUGAAACUGGGGACAAUACCAAACCUAUACUAUAUCUGUGUUUUUCCUGUGCAUAAAUACCUGUGAUAAAGUUUAGCUUAUACAUUAGGCACAGUGAAAAACUAAUGAUAAUAACUAACAAUAAAAUAGGACAAUUCUAAAAAUACGCUUGUACUUUAAUAAAACUACCAGCACCAUGACUCUUGCACUUUGGGGACAUCAUUAAAUAAAAUAAGGGUUAUUUGAACGCAGGGACUAUCAUACUAUGGUAAUUGAUCUCUUGACCUGAAUGGCUGCUCAGUGAUUAAUAGGUUGAUAGUGUAUACACCGUGGAAAUGCUGAACAAAAGUGAUGAUUCAUGUUCCAGGAAUGAUGGAGAGGGGUGAUAUAAGAUUUCAUGAUAUUACUCAGAAUGUCUAGUAAUUUAAAGCAUAUUAGUUUUUAUUUCUGGACUCUUUCAUUCAGUAUUUUCAGAACUGAAUUGACUGCAGGUAACUGAAACCAUAGCAGAUAACAGGGACCAGCUGUACGUGAGAAGGAGGGAGAAGGCAACUUCUUGCUUGAGAUUAUUUUUGCCAAGCAGAGUUGUGAGGGCUGCGUGAAGUAAUCCUUCAUUGUGAUUCAUCCAAGGGAGCCUGAAUCAGCACGUGGUCAUUUCCUGUGUGGUGAGUGGGGUGGGGAGGCUGCCUUGAGUGCAACAGUGUCAUCAAAGGGAUGGGUGUGGGGCUUGGGAGUAUUAACUUAGUGAUGGCAUGUAGUAUGAAAUGGAAUAAGGGAGCAUGUGUGUGUUGAGCUAAGGGAAAUAGACAUGAAGACAUGGGGGCUUGAGCUAGCCAUAGUAUAGGCAAUGAUGAUGUGUAUAUUGGAAGAAAAGAAUGAAGGGGUCUGGAGAAGGGAAAGCUAAAUGUAGAUCAUGAAACUCAGAGGGAAAUAUAUUAAUUUCAGGAUAAAGAAAGAAGCGUCAAACUAGUCCAGGAAACUACUAAGGAAAAACCUAAAAUAAACGAUUGGUUUUGUUUUUGUUUUUCUUUGCUCAGCACCUUAUUCAACUCUUUCCUUUGGGUUAGUGACUCUCUUUUCCCUUUGGUUACAUACCUUUUAGCUGGUAAAUCAGAAUUCUUAAUUAUCUUAACUUUCUUAGCACCAGUAUUAGUUCUGGAGAUGAACAUAAGACUCAACCAGGCAGAAUCUUUCCUCACAAUUUUUCUAUCAGAAGAUACAUCCUCUUGGCCUCUCUGCAUACAGAAGCUAGAAGGUUUUCAAUCAGGAGAAAGCCUGUGGUGGAAGUAUGUGAAGCCAAAUAGAGAUCACAAGGGAUAACAUAGAGGAGAGACAGAAAGACAGAGGCUAGGUAAUCCUGAGGGUAGUUUUAUUUCCUAAGACCCACAGAGUUGCACUGGUUUCUGCCAGACAUCUUUUUAAAUUUCUGUGAGCUAACUACUAUCCUUCUGAUAAAUUUCUUUCCAUUUAAGAAUGCCAACAGAUCUGACUUUUUAACUUUUUUACAAAAAUAGACUAUUUUAUGGACAUCAAAAUACUAGCAAAAAGAAUUAAUCA
This is a long non-coding RNA of Heterocephalus glaber (naked mole-rat), 2043 nucleotides long. The record is from Ensembl. NCBI's taxonomy places the organism in Eukaryota, Metazoa, Chordata, Mammalia, Rodentia, Bathyergidae.